RNAcentral lists this ribosomal RNA (547 nucleotides) under Pichia manshurica. RNAcentral's name for it is "eukaryotic LSU rRNA". It matches the Rfam family "Eukaryotic large subunit ribosomal RNA", at positions 75 to 648 of the family's 3401-position model. Lineage: Eukaryota; Fungi; Ascomycota; Pichiomycetes; Pichiales; Pichiaceae. The record is from RNAcentral.
UUGCCCCAGUAGCGGCGAGUGAAGCGGCAAGAGCUCAGAUUUGAAAUCGUGUUUCGGCACGAGUUGUAGAGUGUAGGCGGGAGUCUCUGUGGAGCGCGGUGUCCAAGUCCCUUGGAACAGGGUGCCUGAGAGGGUGAGAGCCCCGUAGGGUGCUGCGCGAAGCUUUUGAGGCCCUGCUGACGAGUCGAGUUGUUUGGGAAUGCAGCUCCAAGCGGGUGGUAAAUUCCAUCUAAGGCUAAAUAUUGGCGAGAGACCGAUAGCGAACAAGUACUGUGAAGGAAAGAUGAAAAGCACUUUGAAAAGAGAGUGAAACAGCACGUGAAAUUGUUGAAAGGGAAGGGUAUUGGGCUCGACAUGGGGGGUGCGCACCGCUGUCUCUUGUAGGCGGCGCUCUGGGCGCCCUCUGGGCCAGCAUCGGUUCCUGCUGCGGGAGAAGGGGCUCCGGAAAGUGGCUCUUCGGAGUGUUAUAGCCGGGGCCAGAUGCCGCGUGUGGGGACCGAGGACUGCGGCNNCUGUCUCGGAUGCUGGCAUAACGGCGCAAUACCGC